This 460-nucleotide ribosomal RNA is filed under the name uncultured bacterium. RNAcentral's name for it is "partial 16S ribosomal RNA". It matches the Rfam family "Bacterial small subunit ribosomal RNA", at positions 338 to 795 of the family's 1533-position model. The record is from RNAcentral.
CCUACGGGUGGCAGCAGUGAGGAAUAUUGGUCAAUUGACGAGAGUCUGAACCAGCCAAGUAGCGUGAAGGAUGACUGCCCUAUGGGUUGUAAACUUCUUUUAUAUGGGAAUAAAACGUUCCACGUGUGGGAUUUUGUAUGUACCAUAUGAAUAAGGAUCGGCUAACUCCGUGCCAGCAGCCGCGGUAAUACGGAGGAUCCGAGCGUUAUCCGGAUUUAUUGGGUUUAAAGGGAGCGUAGGUGGAUUGUUAAGUCAGUUGUGAAAGUUUGCGGCUCAACCGUAAAAUUGCAGUUGAAACUGGCAGUCUUGAGUACAGUAGAGGUGGGCGGAAUUCGUGGUGUAGCGGUGAAAUGCUUAGAUAUCACGAAGAACUCCGAUUGCGAAGGCAGUUCACUGGACUGCAACUGACACUGAGGCUCGAAAGUGUGGGUAUCAAACAGGAUUAGAUACCCUUGUAGUC